This 460-nucleotide ribosomal RNA is filed under the name uncultured bacterium. RNAcentral's name for it is "partial 16S ribosomal RNA". It matches the Rfam family "Bacterial small subunit ribosomal RNA", at positions 338 to 795 of the family's 1533-position model. The record is from RNAcentral.
CCUACGGGUGGCAGCAGUGAGGAAUAUUGGUCAAUGGACGCGAGUCUGAACCAGCCAAGUAGCGUGAAGGAUGACUGCCCUAUGGGUUGUAAACCUCUUUUAUAAAGGAAUAAAACGAGGCACGCGUGCCUUUUUGCGUGUACUUUAUGAAAAAGGAUCGGCUAACUCCGUGCCAGCAGCCGCGGUAAUACGGAGGAUCCGAGCGUUAUCCGGAUUUAUUGGGUUUAAAGGGAGCGUAGAUGGGGUGUUAAGUCAGUGGUGAAAGUUUGUGGCUCAACCGUAAAAUAGCGAUUGAUACUGGCAGUCUAGAGUACAGGUGAGGUAGGCGGAAUUCGUGGUGUAGCGGUGAAAUGCUUAGAUAUCACGAAGAACCCCGAUUGCGAAGGCAGCUUACUAAACUGUGACUGACAUUGAGGCACGAAAGUGUGGGUAUCAAACAGGAUUAGAUACCCUGGUAGUC